Molecule: long non-coding RNA, 3904 nt
Organism: Ctenopharyngodon idella (grass carp)
Lineage: Eukaryota; Metazoa; Chordata; Actinopteri; Cypriniformes; Xenocyprididae
Exons: 7
Source: RefSeq, a predicted model, not a curated record
GAGCAAUUAAAUAUGUCAGAAAUCUCAGUAAUAAAAGAGUAGUCGAGAAGUUCCCGGAUGGCCUACUGCUCCCGCCCAGAUUCUGAAGUGCUCCUCGAUGGACACUCUUCUAUCCCAGGAGGCCACGGGAGAGGAUUUAUUAUGAUAACAGGCUCUAGUAAACACACAUAACUUAAUUCUCCCAAGUGGAUUUACAUGUUCUAAACCACAUCUUAAAGAUGCUUACUAAAUGUUUAUUUAACAUCUGACAGGAACAUCUUCUGUAAGUAUUAUGGCUUAUGAGUGAUGGAUUAUGUAUGAGUGAUGUGUGUGUGCUAUUAUGUAGAAUUCACUGUUGUCAAAACUGUUUACUUUACAUGAAUGAAAAUAAUGUAAAUAAAUAAAUCUACAGUAACUAGACAUAAGUUUAAUCUGUUUUAUUUGUCUGUUAGUACUGUUGAUAAAUGAAGGAACAUUUGUGUUGAUAAAAAGAGAGUUAACACAUCAUCAUCAUCAUCAUGUGAAUGUAGUGUUGAGCACAUCAAUCUCAGAGGAAACUUGAAUCUUGUCUGAUGUUACAGGGACAGAUGAUCACGUGUGUUUAUCCGGUGGAGAGAGACUGAUGAAGGACUGAUGCCAUCAAAGGCUUUGAGUGACGAUAGUCACCCGAUUAAUACUGAGAUUCUAGAUGUUUUUAUUUAAAAAGGCUUAAAAGAGGUGUAGCGAGGAAUUUCACUACAAUGUAGGGGUGAGUUUAACUUCAGCUGCAAUAUAUCUUGGAUGACUAGGCAUUGACAAGAUCUAGGUCCUCACCCCCUAGUACGAUUAAUUCCCGUACUUAUAUAUAUAUAUAUAUAUAUAUAUAUAUAUAAGUAUGUUGUUGUCUGCCUUGCUAAUGUUGCUUUUGUCUUUUGUAGCAGCGACUGAUGAGGAUUGAGGCUCUGGAACUUAACAUACACGGUAGCUCCCCAGAGUAUAACAGUGUUGAUUAACCCCUCUUCCCCUCUUCAGACCACAAGACAGUAGGAAUGCCCCUACUCCAAGAUAACAAAGUUUUACACUUAUUUCUUAAAUGUUUAGCAGAAUUAAACAAAAUAAAGAAAACAACAGUCCUGAAAUAAAUUCUUUGUUUCACUGUCUUAUGAUUUUUCAAGAAAUAUAUAAAAAAUAAAGUUUUGUUCAGAUUCAAACUUUUGUUCAGUUUCUUCUCUUUCAACAGUAAUACUCAAAAUCAGAAAAACAACAACAGUUCUGAUAGAAUGCUCAGAUGGUACUCAGUUCACUCAAAAGUACAUUACAGAUGUUUCAUUCCAUAUCAGAUAUUUCCAGUUCACAUACCUGAGUGAGAUUCACAACCCCAAAGUUAAAGUUUUACCUCACAGUAGAACUGGGCUGGUGUUGGAGUGUCCAGAUAUGGCAGGGUAAUUAAAUCAAACAAAUAGCCACCUGUUCAAAAACAGAAAGUCCCUUCCGUUUCUUCAAAAAUAAUGUUCAAGAAAAAAAAUAAUGUUUAAAAAAAAAAAAAAAAAAAUCUUCACAAAGAUUCUGGUGGACAGAAACAGCGUAAUUCGGAUCCAUUCAUUCGUGCAAACUUAGUUAUCAGUUCUCAAGUCUAUGCAAUUGUCCAUCCAAAAAGGGUUUCAAAGUCUCCAAGUGAAAACAGUGCAAAAUGUCCAAAAAUAAACUGAAAAAUAGAAGGAAAAAUAUUGUCAAAAGAAGAGCGUCAAUGAGUUCGCAAUGCCGUUUGUGUCCACACGGCGGCACUAUUGUAUGAAAAACGACGCACGAGGAUUUCGGCUCGAACAGAAGUAGCAAAAUCACUCGAUCCAAGCUGCUUUGCUUCAAGAACAACAAAUAACGUCCGUGUGUUUCUUCAGAAUAGAAACUGUGGUUAAACAACAGUGAAGAAAAACUCACAGUAUCUCAGCUCCCUUCCGUAGAAGAUGAACACCCGUGCCAACACACCAUCUCCGCUAGCACGAUGAGCAAUGCCCCUCCUGGUAUAUCACAGACAUGCAGUUCAGUUUCUCGGCGAUCAGGCUCGGUCAAAACUCACGACAGCACAAGCUCGGUCCAGCUUCUCGUCCGCUCACCUCAACGCUUGUCUAAAACUGUACACAUAUAUCAAAGAAGUCACGAGAAAACUAACUUUUUUCCCCCCUCGCGCUCGUCUCGCUCACUUCCUUCAUUUUCGGAACACCCCGUCUUCUUCAUAUUUUUAAAACAGAUCAAUACUGAGAUUCUAGAUGUUUUUAUUUAAAAAGGCUUAAAAGAGGUGCUCAACUCACGGCUGCUUUAAGAGGCUCGCCUCGCCUCGUAUGUGUGUGCGCAAGUGUGUGAGUGUGUGUUACAUCGUAUCAGGCCAUCAAACUGUUCAAUAAACUGUUUAAGACAGAUAGUCACCCGAUCAAGACUGAGAUUCCAGAUGUUUUUAUUUAAAAAGGCUUAAAAGAGGUGUUCAACUCACGGCUGCUUUAAGAGGCUCUGCUCAGCUCGUCUCGUAUGUGUGUGCGCAAGUGUGUGUGUGUGUAACAUCGUAUCAGCCGAUCAAACUGUUCAAUAAACUGUUUAAGACAGAUAGUCACCCGAUCAAGACUGAGAUUCCAGAUGUUUUUAUUUAAAAAGGCUUAAAAGAGGUGCUCAACUCACCGCUGCUUUAAGAGGCUCGCCUAGCCUCGCCUCGGUAUGUGUGUGCGCAAGUAUGUGAGUGUGUGUAACAUAGUAUCAGGCGAUCAAACUGUUCAAUAAACUGUUUAAGACAGAUAGUCACCCGAUCAAGACUGAGAUUCCAGAUGUUUUUAUUUAAAAAGGCUUAAAAGAGGUGCUCAACUCACGGCUGUUAUAAGAGGCUCGCCUCGCCUCGCCUCGUAUGUGUGUGCGCAAGUGUGUGAGUGUGUGUAACAUCGUAUCAGGCGAUCCACCUGUUCAAUAAACUGUUUAAGACAGAUAGUCACCCGAUUAAUACUGAGAUUCUAGAUGUUUUUUUAUUUAAAAAGGCUUAAAAGAGGUGCUCAACUCACGGCUGUUAUAAGAGGCUCGCCUCGCCUCGCCUCGCCUCGUAUGUGUGUGCGCAAGUGUGUGAGUGUGUGUAACAUCGUAUCAGCCGAUCAAACUGUUCAAUAAACUGUUUAAGACAGAUAGUCACCCGAUUAAUACUGAGAUUCUAGAUGUUUUUUAUUUAAAAAGGCUUAAAAGAGGUGCUCAACUCACGGCUGUUAUAAGAGGCUCGCCUCGCCUCGCCUCGCCUCGUAUGUGUGUGCGCAAGUGUGUCAGUGUGUGUAACAUCGUAUGAGGCGAUCAAACUGUUCAAUAAACUGUUUAAGACAGAUAGUCACCCGAUCAAGACUGAGAUUCCAGAUGUUUUUAUUUAAAAAGGCUUAAAAGAGGUGCUCAACUCACGGCUACUUUAAGAGGCUCGCCUCGCCUCGUAUGUGUGUGCGCAAGUGUGUGAGUGUGUGUAACAUCGUAUCAGGCGAUCAAACUGUUCAAUAAACUGUUUAAGACAGAUAGUCACCCGAUCAAGACUGAGAUUCCAGAUGUUUUUAUUUAAAAAGGCUUAAAAGAGGUGUUCAACUCACGGCUGCUUUAAGAGGCUCUGCUCAGCUCGUCUCGUAUGUGUGUGCGCAAGUGUGUGUGUGUGUAACAUCGUAUCAGCCGAUCAAACUGUUCAAUAAACUGUUUAAGACAGAUAGUCACCCGAUUAAUACUGAGAUUCUAGAUGUUUUUUUAUUUAAAAAGGCUUAAAAGAGGUGCUCAACUCACGGCUGUUAUAAGAGGCUCGCCUCGCCUCGCCUCGCCUCGUAUGUGUGUGCGCAAGUGUGUCAGUGUGUGUAACAUCGUAUGAGGCGAUCAAACUGUUCAAAAAACUGUUUAAGACAGAUAGUCACCCGAUUAAUACUGAGAUUCUAGAUGUUUUUUUAUUUAA